RNAcentral lists this small RNA (516 nucleotides) under Arabidopsis thaliana (thale cress). RNAcentral's name for it is "ATSL034970". Lineage: Eukaryota; Viridiplantae; Streptophyta; Magnoliopsida; Brassicales; Brassicaceae. The record is from RNAcentral.
GUAAGCAAGUUUUUGUUAGUUUUAGCCUCUUUUGGGAGAAAAUGGGUAUAAGUGUUGUCAAAACACCCCUAAUUAAUCUCUAACUCAUAUAAUCAGUCAAAUGCAUUGGAUUGCGAUACAUAUUGAGUUAUUGACCAUUGAAACACUAACAAAGCUAUUUACUGUUUGUAAGCAAUAUUUUGUUAGUUGUAGCUUCUUUUGGGAGAAAUGGGUAUAAGUGUUGUCUAAACACUCCUAAUCCAUCUCUAACUCUUAUAAUUAGUCAAAUGUAUUAGAUUGUGACAUAUUUUAACAAUAGAAACACUAACAAAGCUAUUUACUGUUUCUAAGCAAUUUUUCGUUGGUUUUAGCCUCUUUAGGGAGAAAAUGGGUAUAAGUGUUGUCUACACCCUCCUAAUCCAUCUCUUACUCUUAUACCUAGUUAAAUGCUUUGGAUUGUGACACAUUUUGAACAUAGAAACACUAUAAAAGCUAUUUACUGUUUCUAAGCAAUUUUUUGUAGGUAUUAGCCUAUUU